RNAcentral lists this ribosomal RNA (596 nucleotides) under uncultured bacterium. RNAcentral's name for it is "bacterial SSU rRNA". It matches the Rfam family "Bacterial small subunit ribosomal RNA", at positions 338 to 951 of the family's 1533-position model. The record is from RNAcentral.
CCUACGGGAGGCAGCAGUGGGGAAUUUUCCGCAAUGGGCGAAAGCCUGACGGAGCAAUACCGCGUGAGGGAGGAAGGCUCUUGGGUUGUAAACCUCUUUUCUCAGGGAAGAUAAUGACGGUACCUGAGGAAUAAGCAUCGGCUAACUCCGUGCCAGCAGCCGCGGUAAUACGGAGGAUGCAAGCGUUAUCCGGAAUGAUUGGGCGUAAAGCGUCCGCAGGUGGUUUUGAAAGUCUGCUGUUAAAGCGUGCGGCUUAACCGCAUAAGGGCAGUGGAAACUAUGAGACUAGAGUGCGUUAGGGGCAGAGGGAAUUCCCAGUGUAGCGGUGAAAUGUGUAGAGAUUGGGAAGAACACCGGUGGCGAAGGCGCUCUGCUAUACCGUAACUGACACUGAGGGACGAAAGCUAGGGGAGCGAAUGGGAUUAGAUACCCCAGUAGUCCUAGCCGUAAACGAUGGAUACUAGGCGUUGUCUGUAUCGACCCGGACAGUGCCGUAGCUAACGCGUUAAGUAUCCCGCCUGGGGAGUACGCNGCACUGUGAACUACAAUAGAUAGACGGCGNGAGACGUGCCGACGGACGACGACGAGGGAGUAGG